Molecule: ribosomal RNA, 437 nt
Filed under: uncultured Alcaligenes sp.
Lineage: Bacteria; Pseudomonadati; Pseudomonadota; Betaproteobacteria; Burkholderiales; Alcaligenaceae
Description: bacterial SSU rRNA
Rfam family: Bacterial small subunit ribosomal RNA
Source: RNAcentral
GGGGAAUUUUGGACAAUGGGGGAAACCCUGAUCCAGCCAUCCCGCGUGUGCGAUGAAGGCCUUCGGGUUGUAAAGCACUUUUGGCAGGAAAGAAACGUCAUGGGCUAAUACCCCGUGAAACUGACGGUACCUGCAGAAUAAGCACCGGCUAACUACGUGCCAGCAGCCGCGGUAAUACGUAGGGUGCAAGCGUUAAUCGGAAUUACUGGGCGUAAAGCGUGCGCAGGCGGUUCGGAAAGAAAGAUGUGAAAUCCCAGAGCUUAACUUUGGAACUGUAUUUUUAACUACCGAGCUAGAGUGUGUCAGAGGGAGGUGGAAUUCCGCGUGUAGCAGUGAAAUGCGUAGAUAUGCGGAGGAACACCGAUGGCGAAGGCAGCCUCCUGGGAUAACACUGACGCUCAUGCACGAAAGCGUGGGGAGCAAACAGGAUUAGAUAC